CCUACGGGGGGCAGCAGUGAGGAAUAUUGGUCAAUGGCCGAGAGUCUGAACCAGCCAAGUCGCGUGAAGGAUGACUGCCCUAUGGGUUGUAAACUUCUUUUAUCAAGGAAUAAAACGAGGCACGUGUGCCUUUUUGCAUGUACUUUAUGAAUAAGCAUCGGCUAACUCCGUGCCAGCAGCCGCGGUAAUACGGGGGAUGCAAGCGUUAUCCGGAUUUAUUGGGUUUAAAGGGUGCGUAGGCUGUGAGGUAAGUCAGCGGUGAAAUGACGCGGCUCAACGGGGUGAAGUGCCGUUGAUACUGCCUUUCUGGAAUGCGGAUGCCGUGGGAGGAAUGUGUGGUGUAGCGGUGAAAUGCAUAGAUAUCACACAGAACACCGAUUGCGAAGGCAGCUUACGAAUCCGCGAUUGACGCUGAUGCACGAAAGCGUGGGUAUCAAACAGGAUUAGAUACCCGAGUAGUC
Molecule: ribosomal RNA, 461 nt
Filed under: uncultured bacterium
Lineage: Bacteria
Description: partial 16S ribosomal RNA
Rfam family: Bacterial small subunit ribosomal RNA
Source: RNAcentral